UGCCAGACUCCUACGGGAGGCAGCAGUGGGGGAUAUUGCACAAUGGGGGGAACCCUGAUGCAGCGACGCCGCGUGGGUGAAGGAGUGCUUCGGCAUGUAAAGCCCUAUCGGCAGGGAAGAAGCAAGACGGUACCUGACUAAGAAGCCCCGGCUAACUACGUGCCAGCAGCCGCGGGAAUGCGUAGGGGGCGAGCGUUAUCCGGAUUCACUGGGUGUAAAGGGAGCGUAGACGGCAAUGCAAGCCAGAUGUGAAAGCCCGGGGCUCAACCCCGGGACUGCAUUUGGAACUGUGUAGCUGGAGUGUCGGAGAGGCAGGCGGAAUUCCUAGUGUAGCGGUGAAAUGCGUAGAUAUUAGGAGGAACACCAGUGGCGAAGGCGGCCUGCUGGACGAUGACUGACGUUGAGGCUCGAAAGCGUGGGGAGCAAACAGGAUUAGAUACCCCCGUAGAC
RNAcentral lists this ribosomal RNA (450 nucleotides) under uncultured bacterium. RNAcentral describes it as "bacterial SSU rRNA". It matches the Rfam family "Bacterial small subunit ribosomal RNA", at positions 329 to 795 of the family's 1533-position model. The record is from RNAcentral.